Molecule: ribosomal RNA, 1898 nt
Filed under: Candidatus Berkelbacteria bacterium
Lineage: Bacteria; Candidatus Berkelbacteria
Description: partial 23S ribosomal RNA
Rfam family: Bacterial large subunit ribosomal RNA
Source: RNAcentral
UUCCGCGGAGUCAGUCCGUGAGGGCUAAGCUUCACGGUCGAAAGGGAAACAACCCUGACCAUCAGCUAAGGUCCCUAAGUAUCUGCUAAGUGUGAAACGAUGUGGCAGACCACAGACAACCAGGAGGUUGGCUUAGAAGUAGCCACCCUUUAAAGAUAGUGUAACAACUCACUGGUCAAGGUGUGCUGCGCGAAAAAUUCAACGGGGCUAAGCAGAUCACCGAAGCUAUGGGUUUACGCCGCAAGGCGUAAGCGGUAGGGGAGCGUUCGCAACUGCGUCGAAGCUGUUCCUAGAGGAAUGGUGGAGCGUUGCGAAGUGCGAAUGUUGGGAUGAGUAACGAAUAUGACAGGUGAGAACCCUGUCCACCGAAUACCCAAGGUUUCCCGGGCAACCACAAUGGUCCCGGGGUUAGGCGGUUGCUAAGGGCGAGAGCCCGAUGCGUAGCCGGUUGAUAUUCCGGCCCUCAUUUGCGACUACCCUCCUUUGACGCUUCUUCAAGUUGGUGCAGAGCUCAUGGAUAUGUUCUGUAUCUGGGAGAAGGAGACUGGAAAAGAAGGAGAUUAACUACGCAAGUUAGCCGUACCACAAACCGACACAGGUGGGUUGGUCGAGAAGACUAAGGUGAGCGAGCAAACCCUCGUUAAGGAACUCGGCAAUAAAGCGUCCGUAACUUAGGGAUAAGGACUCCCCCGCCUCUGGCGGGGGCGCAGCGAAAGACUUUCAGGCGACUGUUUACCAAAAACUUAGGUCCAUGCGAACCAGAAUUGGGAUGUAUAUGGGCUGAUGCCUGCCCAGUGCUAGUAGGUCAAAGUUCUUGCUAAUCUGGCGGCUGGAACCUAUCUGUUAGGUAAAACUGCUCAACUGCUGGCAUAAAUUUUAGGCCACAAAAUGUUGAGCCCCUAGCAGGUAGGCCCCAGCCUCUAGAGAGGUCUAGGACUCAAGCCCUAGUGAACGGCAGCAGUAACUAUAACUGUUCUAUGGUAGCGAAAUUCCUUGUCGGGUAAGUUCCGACCCGCACGAAUGGCAUAACGGUCUGAAAACUGUCUCAACGAGGGACUCGGUGAAAUUGCAAUGCCGGUAAAGAUGCCGGUUAACUGCAGCAAGACGGAAAGACCCCGUGAAGCUUUACUACAGCUUGGUAUUGUUUUACGGAUAUUCAUGUGUAGAGUAGGUGGGAGCUUCGGCGCCAAUGAAACACCACCCUUGAAUAUUUGUAAAUCUAACCCCGCCUUUGGCGGGAGACAGUGCUUGGUAGGUAGUUUGACUGGGGCGGUCGCCUCCAAAAGUGUAACGGAGGCGUUCAAAGGUUGGCUUAGCUCGUAUGGAAAGCGAGCUUUAAAGUGUAAAGGCAUAAGCCAGCUUGACUGCAAGACUUACAAGUCGCGCAGCUGCGAAAGCAGGACUUAGUGAUCCUCUGGUUCCUCAUGAAUGGGCCAGAGCUCAACGGAUAAAAGCUACUCCGGGGAUAACAGGCUUAUAGCGCCCAAUAGUCCACAUAGACGGCGCUGUUUGGCACCUCGAUGUCGGCUCACCGCAUCCUGGGGGUGAAGUAGCUCCCAAGGGUUUGGCUGUUCGCCAAUUAAAGCGGUACGCGAGCUGGGUUCAGAACGUCGCGAGACAGUUCGGUCCUUAUCUGCUGUAGUCGUGGAAACUUGAGGGGGUCUCUUCGUAGUACGAGAGGACCCGAAGGGGCGAGCCAAUGGUGUACCAGUUGUCCUGCCAAGGGCAUCGCUGGGUAGCUAUGCUCGUUCGAGAUAACCGCUGAAGGCAUAUAAGCGGGAAGCUUACCCCAAGAUUAGGUUUCUUAGACACCCCGAAGACUACGGGGUUGAUAGGCUCUAGGUGUAAGACCAGUAAUGGUUUCAGCCGAGGAGUACUAAUUGUCAAGUAGAACUGAU